UGGGGAAUAUUUGACAAUGGGCGCAAGCCUGAUCCAGCCAUGCCGCGUGAGUGAUGAAGGCCCUAGGGUUGUAAAGCUCUUUCACCGGUGAAGAUAAUGACGGUAACCGGAGAAGAAGCCCCGGCUAACUUCGUGCCAGCAGCCGCGGUAAUACGAAGGGGGCUAGCGUUGUUCGGAUUUACUGGGCGUAAAGCGCACGUAGGCGGACUUUUAAGUCAGGGGUGAAAUCCCGGGGCUCAACCCCGGAACUGCCUUUGAUACUGGAAGUCUUGAGUAUGGUAGAGGUGAGUGGAAUUCCGAGUGUAGAGAUGAAAUUCGUAGAUAUUCGGAGGAACACCAGUGGCGAAGGCGGCUCACUGGACCAUUACUGACGCUGAGGUGCGAAAGCGUGGGGAGCAAACAGG
This 404-nucleotide ribosomal RNA is filed under the name Verrucomicrobiota bacterium. Its description in RNAcentral is "Verrucomicrobia bacterium partial 16S ribosomal RNA". It matches the Rfam family "Bacterial small subunit ribosomal RNA", at positions 355 to 776 of the family's 1533-position model. The record is from RNAcentral. Lineage: Bacteria; Pseudomonadati; Verrucomicrobiota.